This 801-nucleotide long non-coding RNA is filed under the name Junco hyemalis (dark-eyed junco). RNAcentral describes it as "lncRNA (ENSJHYG00000003199.1)". Lineage: Eukaryota; Metazoa; Chordata; Aves; Passeriformes; Passerellidae. The record is from RNAcentral.
CCUGACAUUACGUGCCUGGUUCCUCUCUUGCCUCCCUCGCAAGAAGCAUUUCCUCUGCCUGCGGCUCUGACAAACACACUCCCAAAAGCUGCGGCGCACAGAGCCGGUGGCCAGCGGGACUGCGCUCCCGCGCCGGGCCGAGCGCAGCCCGGCGCUGCCGAGGCGCCCCCGCAUCCCGCCGCCGGCUUCCUCCGCACCACCGACCCCGUCCCUGCCCGGGGGCCCUUCCACCGACCCGGCCGAGCCGCCGCUCCCCUCCCGGCCGGCCCCGGCCCCGGCCCGGCCCCGCCGCGCCCCGUACCUGCCCCGGCCCGGCGGCGGAAGCGGCGGCGGCGGAAGCGGCGGCGGAAGCGGCGGGAGCGGGCGGAGCGAGCGGAGCCAUGUCGGGCCGGGAGGGUAAGGCCGGGCCCGGGGCCGCCGGUGCCGCCCGCCCGGCCCCGCCCGGCCCUCACUGUCCCCUCUGUCUUUGCAGGCGGCAAGAAGAAGCCGCUGAAGCAGCCGAAGAAGCAGACGAAGGACCUGGAUGAGACGGAUCUGGCAUUCAAACAAAAACAGAAGGAGGAGCAAAAGAAACUUGAGGAGAUGAAAGCAAAAGCUGCUGGAAAAGGGCCCCUGGCCAGUGGUGGAAUAAAGAAGUCUGGCAAAAAGUAGCUUGAUCAAACUGCAGGCUAUGAAGUGAUCAAGUUACCCAAUGGACCUGCAGACUUCAGAGAGUCUUGAAAACACUCUGUCAUUUGGGAAACAUUGUACAUUUUGUUUAGUCACAAUAAAUCCUUUUUGUUAAGAUGUGAUACUUUCUCU